This 72-nucleotide transfer RNA is filed under the name Streptococcus agalactiae. Its description in RNAcentral is "tRNA-Glu". It matches the Rfam family "tRNA". Rfam says of the family: Transfer RNA (tRNA) molecules are approximately 80 nucleotides in length. Their secondary structure includes four short double-helical elements and three loops (D, anti-codon, and T loops). Further hydrogen bonds mediate the characteristic L-shaped molecular structure. tRNAs have two regions of fundamental functional importance: the anti-codon, which is responsible for specific mRNA codon recognition, and the 3' end, to which the tRNAs corresponding amino acid is attached (by aminoacyl-tRNA synthetases). tRNAs cope with the degeneracy of the genetic code in two manners: having more than one tRNA (with a specific anti-codon) for a particular amino acid; and 'wobble' base-pairing, i.e. permitting non-standard base-pairing at the 3rd anti-codon position. Lineage: Bacteria; Bacillati; Bacillota; Bacilli; Lactobacillales; Streptococcaceae. The record is from RNAcentral.
GGUCCGUUGGUCAAGGGGUUAAGACACCGCCUUUUCACGGCGGUAACACGGGUUCGAGUCCCGUACGGUCUA